This is a long non-coding RNA of Rana temporaria (common frog), 211 nucleotides long. RefSeq lists it as uncharacterized. The record is from RefSeq and is a predicted model, not a curated record. The transcript has 3 exons. NCBI's taxonomy places the organism in Eukaryota, Metazoa, Chordata, Amphibia, Anura, Ranidae.
CACAUACAGACGGAAAGUUCCAUGUGUUACAAAGUAGACAUUGCUGAAAGUGGCAGCAGAGGAGAAAACCUGUAUAGAUCACAUGACAACAUCAAUGAGGAUGAAGAAGGACCAGAGUCACAUGAAUGAGAGGAUACUAAACCUCACCUUGGAGAUCAUCUACCUGCUGACCGGAGAGAGAUUUCCAAUUCCAACGUCUGGACAUCAUAUG